Homo sapiens (human) is the source of this 274-nucleotide long non-coding RNA. RefSeq lists it as uncharacterized. The record is from RefSeq and is a predicted model, not a curated record. The transcript is spliced from 3 exons. Lineage: Eukaryota; Metazoa; Chordata; Mammalia; Primates; Hominidae.
CUUCUUGUUCACUGGCUUGGCAAGCGGCAAGCGGCAAGCGGUGGAACCUGCCUUCAGCUACAAGAAGAGGCUCAUAGGCGGAAGGGACUUGCCUUGUCUCAUAUGAAACUUUGGACUGUGGACUUUUGAGUUAACGCUGAAAUGAGUCUCUCUCUUUGCCUGCCUCCAUCCACGUAAGAUAUGACUUGGUCCUCCUUGCCUUCGGCAAUGAUUGUGUGGCCUCCCCAGCCACGUAGAACUGUAAGUCCAAUAAACCUCUUUCUUUUGUAAAUUU